RNAcentral lists this ribosomal RNA (1097 nucleotides) under Aphis hypericiphaga. RNAcentral describes it as "partial 16S large subunit ribosomal RNA". Lineage: Eukaryota; Metazoa; Arthropoda; Insecta; Hemiptera; Aphididae. The record is from RNAcentral.
UUUUUUAAAAAAAAAAUUUAUUUUUUUAAGGUUUUAGUAUUUAGUAAAAAUUAAUUUUUAGAUUUAUAGUUUAAUAGUAUUGUAAAAGAAAUUGUUAAAUUUUAUAAAGAAUUUAAUAGUACCUUUUGUAUCAGGGUUGAUUAAAAUUUUUAAUUUAUUUUAAUUUCUCAAAAUUUAUAGAGUUAAUUUUAUUAUUAAUUUAUUGGGGUAAAAAUAUUUAUAAAAUAAUAUUAGUUUUGAAAUUUAAUUCGUUAUAUUAUAUUUAGUUAUUUAAGAUUUAAAUUUAAUUUAAAAUUUUAAAAGUUGUAUUAAUUUUAUUGAUUAAUAUUUUAAAUUUAAAUUAUUUUAGGGAUAAGCUUGAAAUUUUAAUAUAAUAAUUUAUUUAUUUUAAUAAUUUAUAGGAAUAGAAAUUUUUAUUUAAGUUUGUAAAAAUUUAUUAUUUAUUUAAUUUUAAUUUAUUAUAUUUAUAUUUAUUUUUAAUAUUAAAUUUUAUUAAUUAAUAUUUAGUUAAUAGUAAUAAUGAUUAAAUUAGUAUAAUAUAUAAAUUUAUAAAUUAUGAAUUCGGCAAAAAUUAUUUUCAUCUGUUUAACAAAAACAUUGUAUUAAGUUUAAUUUAAUAUAGGAUCUGCUCAAUGAUUUAUUAAAUAGCUGCAGUAUUUUGACUGUGCAAAGGUAGCAUAAUAAUUAGUCUUUUAAUUGAGGACUUGAAUGAAAGAUUUGAUGAGAAAUAGACUUUAUUAUUUAUAAAAUUAAAAUUUUAUUUUUAAGUAAAAAAGCUUAAAUUAUUUAAAGGGACGAUAAGACCCUAUAAAACUUUAUAAAUUUUGAUUUUAAUUUUUUUGGAUUCAUAAAUAUUUUAUAAUUAAAAUUUAUUUUAUUGGGGCGAUAAAAAAAAUUAUUAAACUUUUUUUAAAAUUUAACAUUAUUUAAUGAAUAUUUGAAUUAAAAUUUUUAAUUAAAGGAAAAAGUUACUUUAGGGAUAACAGCGUAAUUAAUUUUUUAAGUUCAAAUUUAAAAAUUAGUUUGCGACCUCGAUGUUGAAUUAAGAUUAAUUUUAGGUGCAAAAUUUUAAAUAUUAGGUCUGUUCGACCUUUAAA